GAUGAACGCUGGCGGCGUGCUUAACACAUGCAAGUCGAACGGAAAGGCUCCUGCUUGCAGGGGUACUCGAGUGGCGAACGGGUGAGUAACACGUGGGUGAUCUGCCCUGCACUUCGGGAUAAGCCUUGGAAACUGGGUCUAAUACCGGAUAGGACGAUGGUUUGGAUGCCAUUGUGGAAAGUUUUUCGGUGUGGGUUGAGCUCGCGGCCUAUCAGCUUGUUGGUGGGGUAAUGGCCUACCAAGGCGUCGACGGGUAGCCGGCCGGAGAGGGUGUACGGCCACAUUGGGACUGAGAUACGGCCCAGACUCCUACGGGAGGCAGCAGUGGGGAAUAUUACACAAUGGGCGCAAGCCUGAUGCAGCGACGCCGCGUGGGGGAUGACGGCCUUCGGGUUGUAAACUCCUUUCGCUAGGGACGAAGCGCAAGUGACGGUACCUAGAGAAGAAGCACCGGCUAACUACGUG
This 465-nucleotide ribosomal RNA is filed under the name uncultured bacterium. RNAcentral's name for it is "partial 16S ribosomal RNA". It matches the Rfam family "Bacterial small subunit ribosomal RNA", at positions 28 to 507 of the family's 1533-position model. The record is from RNAcentral.